Phoenix dactylifera (date palm) is the source of this 1583-nucleotide non-coding RNA. NCBI's taxonomy places the organism in Eukaryota, Viridiplantae, Streptophyta, Magnoliopsida, Arecales, Arecaceae. The record is from RefSeq and is a predicted model, not a curated record.
UCAUUUUACUUUUAUAUUUUUUAUGUUUUCACUUUAUUUUAAUUUAUUUUUAAUCUUUUUUAUAACUAGUUUCUGAAUAUUCCAUUUUGUAUGUUUGUAGAGGGAUAUAGAGAACUGAAGUUAUGAUCUUGUAGGAGUCAUUCUGCUCUUGUAGUUUGAGUGUCAAAUGACACAUGAUGGUUAGAGGAGUGAAAACUAUGAAUUCAUAUUGUUAGAAAUGCUCUUUUUUUUUAAAAAAAAUAGCUUGUUUGUUGCGACACUGUGCUUAAAUCAUCCUUUCUUGGGAUUGCUGCCAUGUGCUAAUGUAUUAUUGAAUGCUAUUUUUACUGGGGAUAUUUUGUGGAAGAUGAAAGCCAUUUUUCUCUACCAUAUUAUGAUUUCAUCAUUAUGUCACAUAUUGUUAGAUUGUUCUUGCAGGGAUGUUUGAUAAUUAAAAAAAUGUGCCAAUAUAACACUAUUCACUGGAUGGUAUGAUUACUGAACUUUUGGUCAUUUAUUAAUCCAGUCGCUCAAAGAGAUUAUGAAUUAUGCCACUUGGACUCUUGGUAUAUAGGAUUCACAUUACGCAAUUUCUUUGAAAAUAAUAUCCUCUUCUUGCUUGAGCUAUGUUUCUCAAGUCUUUGUAUCAAUCUUAAGGAGUAGAAUGUGUGGAAGAAUGAGUAAGGGAGAACCUUGCUAAGCAAUUGGAGAUUAUGUUCAAAAUAAUGACUCUGAUGGGAUCAUUCAUGAAGCUAAUCUGUUAUGUCUAUUACUUAAUCAAGUAAGUGUACUCAGCGAGCUGCCAGACUUGGCCCUUCUGUCAGAUUCUUGUGUGGGCAUAGAAAGAAACAUGAUCUGCCAAUAAACUGUGAAUAAAUGAUUUAAUGCAUUUUCUUCUGUCGAAAUUGUCAUUCAUACAGACUAGUGCUUGAGACAAAUCACUAGGAUACAUUUUGGUCUUCUAGCAAGACAGAAUGUGAAACAUAUACUUAAUAGAGGCAGUCAUGUGCAAUUAUAAGUUCAACCAAGCAUGAUGUGGAGAGAUAGGCUUUUACCAAGCAAAGCGAUGUAGUAGUAGAGGAGGAGAUAUGUCAACAACAAUAUCUGCAAGUCUUAUGAAUGUUAUCUUUGAGGGAUAACCAUUUUUCUGCAGUUCUGUCUUGUGCCUUGAGAUGCUGUUGAAGUUGUUGAAAGGUUUUCCCUUUCUCUUAAGUUCUAGAAAAAUUUGGCGCUUGUGUUGUGAUUGCACUUCACAUUUUUUGGCUGGUGAGUUCCUUUCAACUUGUAGGAGCUGCUUUCCUUUUUGUAUUUUUUGUGGGAAACUUUGGUUGCUCAUGACAAUGAAUUUUUGCAGUCCGUAAGUUCUAGCAGAGAACUAUCAAUGUUAACGCUUCACUUUUUUUGGCUGGUGGGUUCCUUUCAACUUGUGGGAUCAACCUUCCCUUUUUGUAUUUUUUGGGGGAAACUUUGGUUGCUGAUGACAAUGAAUUUUUGCAAUCUGUAAGUUCUAGCAGAGAACUAUCAAUGUUAAUACAUGUAUGCAAACUCUGAUCUAGCUAUUACCAUUGAAUUAUUAAACUUGUGCUUUCAUGAGUGUUUGCUAA